This 567-nucleotide ribosomal RNA is filed under the name [Candida] sp. RNAcentral's name for it is "eukaryotic LSU rRNA". It matches the Rfam family "Eukaryotic large subunit ribosomal RNA", at positions 62 to 650 of the family's 3401-position model. Lineage: Eukaryota; Fungi; Ascomycota; Saccharomycetes; Saccharomycetales. The record is from RNAcentral.
AAACCAACAGGGAUUGCCUUAGUAACGGCGAGUGAAGCGGCAAAAGCUCAAAUUUGAAAUCUGGCACUUUCAGUGUCCGAGUUGUAAUUUGAAGAAGGUAACUUUGGAGUUGGCCCUUGUCUAUGUUCCUUGGAACAGGACGUCACAGAGGGUGAGAAUCCCGUGCGAUGAGGUGUCCAAUUCUAUGUAAAGUGCUUUCGAAGAGUCGAGUUGUUUGGGAAUGCAGCUCUAAGUGGGUGGUAAAUUCCAUCUAAAGCUAAAUAUUGGCGAGAGACCGAUAGCGAACAAGUACAGUGAUGGAAAGAUGAAAAGAACUUUGAAAAGAGAGUGAAAAAGUACGUGAAAUUGUUGAAAGGGAAGGGCUUGAGAUCAGACUCGGUAUUUUGCAAGCCUAUCCUUCGUGGAGAGGUUUAUUAGCAGCUUACCGGGCCAGCAUCGGUUUGGAUGGUAGGAUAAUGGCAUUGGAAUGUGGCUCCUCGGAGUGUUAUAGCCUUUGUUGAUACUGCCUAUCUAGACCGAGGACUGCGUCUUUGACUAGGAUGCUGGCGUAAUGAUCUUAAGCCGCCC